RNAcentral lists this ribosomal RNA (253 nucleotides) under uncultured bacterium. Its description in RNAcentral is "partial 16S ribosomal RNA". It matches the Rfam family "Bacterial small subunit ribosomal RNA", at positions 524 to 776 of the family's 1533-position model. The record is from RNAcentral.
UACGAAGGGUGCAAGCGUUACUCGGAAUUACUGGGCGUAAAGCGUGCGUAGGUGGUUCGUUAAGUCUGAUGUGAAAGCCCGGGGCUCAACCUGGGAAUGGCAUUGGAAACUGGCGACCUAGAGUGCGGUAGAGGGUAGUGGAAUUCCCGGUGUAGCAGUGAAAUGCGUAGAGAUCGGGAGGAACAUCUGUGGCGAAGGCGACUGCCUGGACCAGCACUGACACUGAGGCACGAAAGCGUGGGGAGCAAACAGG